GAUGAACGCUGGCGGCGUGCCUAAUACAUGCAAGUCGAGCGAACAGACGAGGAGCUUGCUCCUCUGACGUUAGCGGCGGACGGGUGAGUAACACGUGGAUAACCUACCUAUAAGACUGGGAUAACUUCGGGAAACCGGAGCUAAUACCGGAUAACAUGUUGAACCGCAUGGUUCAACAGUGAAAGACGGUCUUGCUGUCACUUAUAGAUGGAUCCGCGCCGCAUUAGCUAGUUGGUAAGGUAACGGCUUACCAAGGCAACGAUGCGUAGCCGACCUGAGAGGGUGAUCGGCCACACUGGAACUGAGACACGGUCCAGACUCCUACGGGAGGCAGCAGUAGGGAAUCUUCCGCAAUGGGCGAAAGCCUGACGGAGCAACGCCGCGUGAGUGAAGAAGGUCUUCGGAUCGUAAAACUCUGUUAUUAGGGAAGAACAAAUGUGAAAGUAACUAUGCACGUCUUGACGGUACCUAAUCAGAAAGCCACGGCUAACUACGUG
Molecule: ribosomal RNA, 497 nt
Filed under: uncultured bacterium
Lineage: Bacteria
Description: partial 16S ribosomal RNA
Rfam family: Bacterial small subunit ribosomal RNA
Source: RNAcentral